RNAcentral lists this long non-coding RNA (674 nucleotides) under Mus caroli (Ryukyu mouse). RNAcentral describes it as "RIKEN cDNA 1810007D17 gene (MGP_CAROLIEiJ_G0005317.1)". Lineage: Eukaryota; Metazoa; Chordata; Mammalia; Rodentia; Muridae. The record is from RNAcentral.
CUUUCUUCUCUCGUCAUCCAUCCCAUACUGCCCCAGAUUUCCUCUCAGGAACCCAGGAACCUGUGGAUGCAGGCCGCUACAGAUGGUGCCCGUGUGCACGUUAUUUGCCACUUGGGUGCAGAGGCCAAAAGAGAGCAUCGGGUGUCACAAAGCUAGAGUUACAGGUGGUUGCAAACUGCCGGGUGGGGACUUCUAAAAGAGAAGCAAGAGUUCUUAAUUCUUAAGCCUUGAGCCAUCACACUGAGUCCCUGACAUACUCCACUUUAUGAUUAUCUUGACUUCUGAAUGAACUCAACUACCGGGGAAACCACAACUUGUUCCAGAAGCCAUGCCACCCUGGUAAAAAUCACAAUUCCCCUGAGCAAAUAGCCACGCCUCUCUUAUCAACAGCCAAUCAGUUCUUGAGGGGAAAGUACCUAAUGCCUAAAGUAGAUUGGUUAAGUGAGCAACCAUUGUUCAUAACAAACUGAAAUCAUUACUAGCCAAUAGAAGUGCGACAAGCAAAUGUCAACCAAUCAUGUAACUGCCAAGUUGGAAAGUCCCUUAUCCUGCUGCAACCAUGAUAAAUAGGCAGGACUUGUACCAGCUUAGCACCUUCCACACCUUUCACUGUGCUGGAAAGGUUAGAGGGUCUGAACCAGAGCUUGAAUAAAGACUCUUUGCUUUUGCAUAUG